Molecule: ribosomal RNA, 550 nt
Filed under: uncultured bacterium
Lineage: Bacteria
Description: bacterial SSU rRNA
Rfam family: Bacterial small subunit ribosomal RNA
Source: RNAcentral
UAGGGAAUCUUCCACAAUGGGCGAAAGCCUGAUGGAGCAACGCCGCGUGUGUGAUGAAGGCUUUAGGGUCGUAAAGCACUGUUGUAUGGGAAGAAAUGCUAGAAUAGGGAAUGAUUCUAGUUCGACGGUACCAUACCAGAAAGGGACGGCUAAAUACGUGCCAGCAGCCGCGGUAAUACGUAUGUCCCGAGCGUUAUCCGGAUUUAUUGGGCGUAAAGCGAGCGCAGACGGUUGAUUAAGUCUGAUGUGAAAGCCCGGAGCUCAACUCCGGAAUGGCAUUGGAAACUGGUUAACUUGAGUGUUGUAGAGGUAAGUGGAACUCCAUGUGUAGCGGUGGAAUGCGUAGAUAUAUGGAAGAACACCAGUGGCGAAGGCGGCCUACUGGACAACAACUGACGUUGAGGCUCGAAAGUGUGGGUAGCAAACAGGAUUAGAUACCCUGGUAGUCCACACCGUAAACGAUGAAUACUAGGUGUUAGGAGGUUUCCGCCUCUUAGUGCCGAAGCUAACGCAUUAAGUAUUCCGCCUGGGGAGUACGACCGCAAGGUUG